This 467-nucleotide ribosomal RNA is filed under the name uncultured bacterium. RNAcentral describes it as "partial 16S ribosomal RNA". It matches the Rfam family "Bacterial small subunit ribosomal RNA", at positions 28 to 506 of the family's 1533-position model. The record is from RNAcentral.
GACGAACGCUGGCGGCGUGCUUAACACAUGCAAGUCGAACGGAAAGGCCCUGCUUUUGUGGGGUGCUCGAGUGGCGAACGGGUGAGUAACACGUGAGUAACCUGCCCUUGACUUUGGGAUAACUUCAGGAAACUGGGGCUAAUACCGGAUAGGAGCUCCUGCUGCAUGGUGGGGGUUGGAAAGUUUCGGCGGUUGGGGAUGGACUCGCGGCUUAUCAGCUUGUUGGUGGGGUAGUGGCUUACCAAGGCUUUGACGGGUAGCCGGCCUGAGAGGGUGACCGGCCACAUUGGGACUGAGAUACGGCCCAGACUCCUACGGGAGGCAGCAGUGGGAAAUAUUGCACAAUGGGCGGAAGCCUGAUGCAGCAACGCCGCGUGCGGGAUGACGGCCUUCGGGUUGUAAACCGCUUUCGCCUGUGACGAAGCGUGAGUGACGGUAAUGGGGAAAGAAGCACCGGCUAACUACGU